UGCUGGAAUUACAAGCAUAAGCCACUGUACCCGGACCCCAAUAUUAUUUUUUAACUUUUUAAAGGUAUACGUGGUUUGCCCUUGACAGAAAAAAAGCCCCCUCAUCCAUUAAUCCAGAGAAGAGCUUGUUUACCAGGCACUGGGGACAGGAACAGGAUGGCCAGAUGAGAGGAGGCCGGGCUUGACUUUAGAAAGAUACAAUCCCACUGGAAAGAGGGGGCAGGAGAGAUGUUUCUGUAAGGACAGGUUCAGGUUAAAGUCCUGAUCCUGCCAUAGACUGGAGAGGAGGGCCUUGAUCUCAUCUGCAACAUGCGAUCACUCUCACUCCGCGCCCGAGGCCACUGUGCAGAGCAGAGGAGAUGGAAUGAGGCGGAGUGGGGGUGCGGGGCUCAGCUGCUGCCACACACAGGGCUGCUUCCCUCAGCUGGGCGCCCCAGCCUGUCUCAACUUGUGGCAAUGUCACGGCUCUGAUGCUUUUGCCCCCAGCAUUUCACAUCCGGCCUCAACUCUAACUGCCCAUCUGCUCCCUCCACCCCGUGCACCCUCUGGGCCUUUGCUUGAGCGGCUCACUCUGCCAGUAACUUCCCUGGCCAAUAUCUACCUACUGAGGCUGUACUCAUCCUUCAAGGCCGGGCCUCAGCAGCUGUAACUCCUCCAAGAAGCCCUCCCUGGUUCCCCCAGUUGGGGAUGCUUUCUGCCUUCCCUGCCUCUUUUGGUGACCAGGACUUGUGGAGAACGUAGGAGGGAAGCAGGUGAGGAGGCAGAAUGAACACCUGGUGAGUAAGUGGUAGGCAUGCGACCAGUGUGCCAGUUUUCCUGGAGGUGCAAUUUGCCCUUCUGUGGUUUUGCCAAGAGCAGGGGAAUUAAUGGCCCACAGUGACUGCCUUCUCAAGGUUGUGCAGUUCAUCAGAAUGUAGCAACCGAAAGGGAACAUGAGGGGCAGGGGCAGAGAAGCCUCCCAUCCCACGUAAGUAAUUACGAACAGAGCACAUGACCCCUGGUGGUUUCUGAAUGCAUCUGGCAACAGCUCCACCACCUGCUGUUUUGGAAAGUCAGAUUCACAGAAGCUACAAUUAUAGACUGUCAGCUGGGUCUUUUCAUGGCUGGGGACCAAAACUUACAGCCCCUAACUCCUAGCUCAGUGCUCUUUUUACUUCACCUCCCUGGCCACCUGCCAGACAAUUUACACAAACAGCAAAUGUGACGGGUGCCAGUGCAGAGAUCUGGGGGGCCUUCUACGCUUGUAUAGCUCUACUAGGGAACCAUCUGUCUCGUGCUUUUUUUCUCCAGGCCCUGUCAAGGGUCUCGUGACCCCACAGCUGGGAGAAGGGAGGGUGGGAGCAAAGAAAACGAAAAGGAGGGUGGCAGAGAGGAAGGAAGGGGGAGGGAAGGGAGAAAGGAAGGAGAAAAAGCUUCUUGGGGGUUGGCUGCUCUUUUUAAAGUGCACUCACACUUCCUCCCAUUUCCUGUGGGCGGCCAGAGGCCUGAACGCAGCUGCUCUGCUGCCUGGGGCCUGACAAAGGGAGUCCGGACCGCACCCUGCUCAUCUACUGCCUCAUCUUUUAGCUCUGCUUAACCCCUCAGCCCCAUUCUGCUGAGUCCUUGAGGCCACCUCCACCAAAAGCUACUGCGCAUGGCUUUAUUUAUCAUGGCUUUUCAAGUGCACAAGCAAAACACAGGGAUGAGUUGAAAAAGUACUUCACAGCUGGGAACAAGCCAGGGCUGUCCCUCAUCAGGAAGAAGUCUUAAAAAGUGAUUUCCUAUUUUCAAUUCCAUGAGGUAAUAUAAGUAAAAAGAACCCCAGCAUGGGCUGGCGACGGCCUCGAGCCGACCUAUCUGCUGGGCAGGCCUGGGCCUCCUGUGAACAGAACUGGGGCAGAACAUCUAACUCCGCCCACCCUUAGUUAUUCUCAAGAGGCCAUGAAAUCCGAAUUCCCAUUUCCCAGAAAACCGCUGCCAGGCCAGCACAAACGCCCCCUGCCCUUGGUAGUUAUGUUCCUCGCUGUUAAUUAAGGAGCCAGCAGGCGGGUGCACACAGCACUCCCCUGCCACUCUGCCCAGUGACCAGAUAGCAUGGAGGACCACUCGACAGAAGGAAUGUUCUCAGCCCAGGCCGGCACCAACGCAGGUGCUCCUGAGGCCCAGCCAACAACUUCACCUAGGGCUCAUGAACUGGGGCAGGAAGCACCUGGCCAGUGACCCCCAUCCAAAGGACUGAGUUCACAUCCAAGCUCCUCCACCCCAAGACCCACCAUCCCAAAUGCCACCUGCACAGAGGGUUGGCUCGAGGUCAGGCCCCAUAAGGUGAGAGGGUAGAGGGCUGAGGGCAGAAAAGUCGUACUGUGUUGCCCACGCCAGCCCCUGUGACUCAGCGACGAAUGGGCAUGGCUCAGUAUGUGUUUGUGGGAUGACUGAGUGCAGGGAGCUUUCUGCUUCUGCUCUGUCAUUGCUUCUCUAUCUGAGCAGCUCCCAGAAGACCCAAGAACUGGUCUAGAUUAGAGGCAGUGGUCAGUGGCCUGUGGCCAGAUCCUGCAACAGAUGAGAUCCAUCUGGGCCUUACUGGGCUUUUAAAAACACAUGAAUUAGUUGCUGAUGUUUAAAAGUCAGGAGACCUCAAUUAUAUAAAAGCAAAGGCAAGUAAACAAGUGACCCAAGAAAGAAAAAAAAAGUAGGGGGUGGGAAGCUUGUUUUCUUCCUUUUUAAAUCAAGAUGUGGCCUCGCCUGGCCUCCAUUCCUGCAUGGUAACAGGUGCCCCUUGACACAGGUUCCACACUCUUCGGUCUGCUGGGGGCCUCCAAGCCUGCUUCACUGGGCCUGUCACCUGCUGGACUAUGCAGCCUGUUUGUGUUCACAUUUCACCGUCUAGGAAGGACUCCUGGACGUCAAUUUUCUGCAACACCUGGAACCAGACGGACAGAGAGAACUUGACUUGUUCAGGUCCUAGGUGACUGUGCAAUGUGAGUUGGUUACGAGGCCCAAAGGUUUACAGAGACAGCAGCUGAGAUCACAGGCCAAACCCCAAAGAAACUCUGGCACAGGAGGACGCUGUGGAACUAAUGACUCUCUUAAAAGCUUCCUGAUCCAUCUCUGCUCACCACCUGGCAGAGACAGCUUAUCUCUCAUUGGUGGGAAUCUGAGCCUAGGGUCAGAGCAGUAAGCAAAGCCUGUUCUUCACACAUGGGGAGGAUAUAGGAACAUGCCUUCAGCACGUCUGCAACCCGGGAAGGAGAGACGUUACCUCCCCUAAGCACACCCUGUACUUGCCAUGUUUCAUAGGGAACAAACCGAAACCACCUCCUGCUAUCCCCCGCCUUUGCUGACACCUGUAAAGCUGCCAACCCGCC
Long non-coding RNA from Nomascus leucogenys (northern white-cheeked gibbon), 3344 nucleotides. RefSeq lists it as uncharacterized. The transcript is spliced from 4 exons. The record is from RefSeq and is a predicted model, not a curated record. NCBI's taxonomy places the organism in Eukaryota, Metazoa, Chordata, Mammalia, Primates, Hylobatidae.